GAACGCUGGCGGCGUUCUUAACACAUGCAAGUCGCACGGACAGGCCCUGCUUUUGUGGGGUGCUCGAGUGGCGAACGGGUGAGUAACACGUGAGUAACCUGCCCUUGACUUUGGGAUAACUUCAGGAAACUGGGGCUAAUACCGGAUAGGAGCUCCUGCUGCAUGGUGGGGGUUGGAAAGUUUCGGCGGUUGGGGAUGGACUCGCGGCUUAUCAGCUUGUUGGUGGGGUAGUGGCUUACCAAGGCUUUGACGGGUAGCCGGCCUGAGAGGGUGACCGGCCACAUUGGGACUGAGAUACGGCCCAGACUCCUACGGGAGGCAGCAGUGGGGAAUAUUGCACAAUGGGCGGAAGCCUGAUGCAGCAACGCCGCGUGCGGGAUGACGGCCUUCGGGUUGUAAACCGCUUUCGCCUGUGACGAAGCGUGAGUGACGGUAAUGGGUAAAGAAGCACCGGCUAACUACGUG
This 465-nucleotide ribosomal RNA is filed under the name uncultured bacterium. RNAcentral describes it as "partial 16S ribosomal RNA". It matches the Rfam family "Bacterial small subunit ribosomal RNA", at positions 31 to 507 of the family's 1533-position model. The record is from RNAcentral.